UGGGGAAUAUUGCACAAUGGGCGAAAGCCUGAUGCAGCGACGCCGCGUGCGGGAUGAAGGCCUUCGGGUUGUAAACCGCUUUUAAUUGGGAGCAAGCGAGAGUGAGUGUACCUUUUGAAUAAGCACCGGCUAACUACGUGCCAGCAGCCGCGGUAAUACGUAGGGUGCAAGCGUUAUCCGGAAUUAUUGGGCGUAAAGAGCUCGUAGGCGGUUUGUCACGCCUGGUGUGAAAGUCCAUCGCUUAACGGUGGAUCUGCGCCGGGUACGGGCAGGCUAGAGUGCAGUAGGGGAGAUUGGAAUUCCCGGUGUAACGGUGGAAUGUGUAGAUAUCGGGAAGAACACCAAUGGCGAAGGCAGAUCUCUGGGCUGUUACUGACGCUGAGGAGCGAAAGCAUGGGGAGCGAACAGGAUUAGAUACCCUGGUAGUCUAUGCCGUAAACGGUGGAUGCUGGAUGUGGGACCCUUCCACGGGUUCCGUGUCGGAGCUAACGCGUUAAGCAUCCCGCCUGGGGAGUACGGCCGCAAGGCUAAAAC
RNAcentral lists this ribosomal RNA (534 nucleotides) under uncultured bacterium. RNAcentral's name for it is "partial 16S ribosomal RNA". It matches the Rfam family "Bacterial small subunit ribosomal RNA", at positions 355 to 900 of the family's 1533-position model. The record is from RNAcentral.